CCGCGAAUUCGCCCUUAGAGUUUGAUCCUGGCUCAGAUUGAACGCUGGCGGCAGGCCUAACACAUGCAAGUCGAGCGGAAACGACUUAACUGAACCUUCGGGGAACGUUAAGGGCGUCGAGCGGCGGACGGGUGAGUAAUGCCUGGGAAUAUGCCUUAGUGUGGGGGAUAACUAUUGGAAACGAUAGCUAAUACCGCAUAAUGUCUUCGGACCAAAGAGGGGGACCUUCGGGCCUCUCGCGCUAAGAUUAGCCCAGGUGAGAUUAGCUAGUUGGUGAGGUAAGAGCUCACCAAGGCGACGAUCUCUAGCUGGUCUGAGAGGAUGAUCAGCCACACUGGAACUGAGACACGGUCCAGACUCCUACGGGAGGCAGCAGUGGGGAAUAUUGCACAAUGGGCGAAAGCCUGAUGCAGCCAUGCCGCGUGUAUGAAGAAGGCCUUCGGGUUGUAAAGUACUUUCAGUAGGGAGGAAGGUUCAUGCGUUAAUAGCGCAUGGAUUUGACGUUACCUACAGAAGAAGCACCGGCUAACUCCGUGCCAGCAGCCGCGGUAAUACGGAGGGUGCGAGCGUUAAUCGGAAUUACUGGGCGUAAAGCGCAUGCAGGUGGUUCAUUAAGUCAGAUGUGAAAGCCCGGGGCUCAACCUCGGAACCGCAUUUGAAACUGGUGAACUAGAGUGCUGUAGAGGGGGGUAGAAUUUCAGGUGUAGCGGUGAAAUGCGUAGAGAUCUGAAGGAAUACCAGUGGCGAAGGCGGCCCCCUGGACAGACACUGACACUCAGAUGCGAAAGCGUGGGGAGCAAACAGGA
RNAcentral lists this ribosomal RNA (806 nucleotides) under uncultured bacterium. RNAcentral describes it as "partial 16S ribosomal RNA". It matches the Rfam family "Bacterial small subunit ribosomal RNA", at positions 1 to 777 of the family's 1533-position model. The record is from RNAcentral.